This 253-nucleotide ribosomal RNA is filed under the name uncultured bacterium. RNAcentral describes it as "partial 16S ribosomal RNA". It matches the Rfam family "Bacterial small subunit ribosomal RNA", at positions 524 to 776 of the family's 1533-position model. The record is from RNAcentral.
UACGUAGGUGGCAAGCGUUGUUCGGAAUUAUUGGGCGUAAAGGGCGCGUAGGCGGUCUUGUAAGUCAGCUGUGAAAGCCCGGGGCUCAACCCCGGAGGGUCGGCUGAUACUGCAGGACUGGAGUACGGAAGAGGUAGCUGGAAUUCCUGGUGUAGCGGUGAAAUGCGCAGAUAUCAGGAGGAACACCGGUGGCGAAGGCGGAUCUCUGGGCCAUUACUGACGCUGAGGAGCGAAAGCGUGGGGAGCGAACAGG